Long non-coding RNA from Sus scrofa (pig), 1697 nucleotides. RefSeq lists it as uncharacterized. The record is from RefSeq and is a predicted model, not a curated record. NCBI's taxonomy places the organism in Eukaryota, Metazoa, Chordata, Mammalia, Artiodactyla, Suidae.
ACCCUGCAAGCAACCAGCACAAGGGGAGGGGAGACAGUCAGGUGAGAAAACAGACAAAACCUCCCACAGCCCAGUCCCUGAAGGCAGCAGCCCCACUCCUGACCUUGGAGCAGAAAGAGGAAGAUUGAUUUCUGAGGGACGAUGAAACUGUCCCUUCCUAUCUGAUCAGAUGCUUUAACCCCCUGAAUGGGUCGUGAGUUUGGGGACAUAGAAUGACCACACCUGAAGCUGACAGAAAAGACCUGGGGUCAGUAGGGCUUUCGUGCAGGUGGGUGAAGGGGAAAGGCCUCCCCCGCUGACUAGUUCGAGGGGACAGUGAGAGGCAAAGCCCGAGCGGCAUUGAGAUGACGUCCCCGAUUCCGGGACUGGUGUCACUGAGCUCAAGCCUUCACAUUGGGCCUGACACUCCCCACCCCUGUCAUCCCCCAGAGGCACAGCCUUGACCCACAGGGAGGUUCCGGAAGAAAAUUCUUCCUCCGCUUUCGUCCAGAAUUGAGGAAUGUUUACUAAUUUUUCCUUCCUAUUUGCCUGGAAAUGACACUAAAAACAAGAAAAAAAAAAAAGGACUCCUUGUCCCCGUGCAAAACACCCACACCCUCUGAACUCUUCACCCUGCCGCCGUCUGACUUCACCCCAGGAUGGCGAGGCACUGGUGCCAAGAAGCAGUCAAAACCCCCCAUCAGCCAAUGGCAGCACUUCUUGGAUGAGUUUCCCGAAGAGCUUAAUCAUGAACAAAUUGCUGUCACUUCGCCUGCAGCUGACAAGCCCAGGAGAGUUUCAGGACCAGGCCUUCCCUGGGGAGAACACAGGAUUGAAACUUUCCCCUUGGGGGCUGCUGCAAGACCACCCAAGGGCCAGCAAAGGAGCCAGUGACUGGUGAGCCACAGCCCACAAGGUGCUCCAACCCAGUACCUUCCGGCCCCACUCCCCGCUGGCCUCCUCCUCCGCAGAACAGGAAGGGGUGUGGGAGCACCAUUUCCACUGGAACACUGACGACACAGCCUACAAGAGCAGCCAAAAGCAAGGACUCUGGAAUUCAAUUCCUGGCUCCACCGCUCACCACCAGUGACCCUGGCAGGCGACAUGGCCUCUUUAUCUUAGUUUGCUCCUCUGUAAAACGAGGCUGAUGAUACCACGACCCUGUCACAGGACUGUGGGAGGAUUAAAUGAGUAAAUCUGGGCAAAUCACGUAGGACAGUGUCUGGAAAGAGUAAGCACUCUGUGUCAGCUGUCGUGAGCAAAUUUGUCUUGGGUUCUAAAGUAUGUGCGUGUCGAGCAAUUCUACUUAAAGAAUUCUAGGUUUGGGCAAGAAAUGGAGAGCUAUUCGGGAUGGGUUUCCAUCAUCCCUGAAAUCAAACCUGUGCCUACAUGUGAACAGCCUGACUGUAACCCAAAACAUCCCUUUAUUGUCUCUGCUCUUCCAGAUAGCCCUAAAAGUGUGAGCCAAGAACGAACCUGGCUGGUGGGGGGCCUCGUGGCCUGACAUCCUGCUAUGGUCCAGCUUUGCCUCUGCCAGCCCGGGACCUGCAGGUCCCUCUCACACACAGGCUGAGCCCCUCUCCUCCCCUCUCCUCUCAAUGACCAUGGCGCCGGGACUCUGGGACACACACACACCUGCCAUCCCAUCAGAUCCUCUUUAAAAACCGUGAAGUGGGAGUUCCUGUUGUGGCUCAGCGGUAAUGAAACCAACUAGUAUC